GACGAACGCUGGCGGCGUGCUUAAAACAUGCAAGUCGAACGGGGUCCAGCCAGUCGCAAGACUGGGGAAGACCGAGUGGCGAACGGGUGCGUAACACGUGAGGAACCUGCCCCGGAGACC
This 120-nucleotide ribosomal RNA is filed under the name uncultured bacterium. RNAcentral describes it as "partial 16S ribosomal RNA". It matches the Rfam family "Bacterial small subunit ribosomal RNA", at positions 28 to 139 of the family's 1533-position model. The record is from RNAcentral.